GUCCAAACCACCUUAAAGCAACAUACAAACUGCUUUAUUGAUUGCAGUUAACAUGUUACAAUUAAAUUAGGAUUUCAAGCAUUAAGCCAGAGGCUUAUAGUAACUAUAAGCUGCCAUCAUGGUCAUGUGGAAUUGGACGAAGAGAUGCUAGUCACUAGGGCAUCUUGGAGUCAUUUCUGCUUCUUGGGCAUUGAAGCCAUCAUCAGUUCAUAAAGAACAUAGCCUGUUCCAAAAACUGUCAAACCCAUGGUGACUCUGUACAACAGACCAUCCAUGAUCCCACCUUUAAGAUACACGGGGAGGCCAUUAUCCUCCUGGAACAGCUUCUGCUUCUCAGGAACUCUGUUCUCCAGCAGCCUGCGCGAAGCAGUGCUUAUGGUCCUCUGGGAAACUUGGCGAAGACUCAGCAGGUUCCGCCACAUCGCGGUGCUUGGUCCCUUCACCUCCUGCCGGCAGCAAGGGCAGCGGAAGCGGAAGCGGCACGAAGCGCCGCCCCGCAGCGACAGGCGGCGAGAAAAUGGCGGCCGCCAGCGCUGGGGCUGUGGGGGUCAGUCCCGAGGGGGCGGGGAUAAGGGCGGCAGUCCUGGCUCGGCUGUGGCGCGGAGAGUACAAAGCGUAACCACGCAGCUGUUCCUGGCCUCAAACUUCAUCAGUAGCAUGGAUGCUGAGUGUUCUGCAUGCAAACAGAACUCAGAAGUCAGUUAAGUGAUUCACAGCGUAUAAUUGCAGAUGGGGAAGGAACACCAGAACUGUAUGGAACACAAACCUAUUUGAAUCCGAAGGAAGAAUCUUUUUGCCCUUUAGGAAAGUGCUCUGUAAGCCUCUGGUUUCUGCACUGCAGAUCCUGCCCAGGCGUGCAUCAUCUCCUUCCCCUGGCUGACCCUGCAGUACAGCACUGCCAGAACACCACUUCCCAGCUCGCUGCAGUAGCAGGGCACUUAACUCCUGGCAUUAAAGUGCUGGUGCUGGUGCCAGAGCUGAUGAUGAAUAAUCUGUGUCAAAGACAGCAAAUCAGCAUUCAACCCAGUACAGAAAUAACAAACUAUAUCCCAAAGCACAGCACUUCCCUGUCUGAUGACCUGCCUCAGAAAAGCACUAUCAAAAAACGCAAAGAUGGAAAGGUAUUUAUCCAUAGUCUUAGCUGAGUGCAAUAUUAAAAACGUUAUUUAUAAAGCACAAUCAUAGAGAAAAAUGAUGCACUGCAGCAAAGGAAGAAUUCAGAUGCAUUAUUUAACCUAUAUUAAUAAAAGGAUCGUCACCUGCAGAGAAAUAAAUGUUGCCUCAUUUCUGCUAUGUGAACUGUUUCCCAAAAUGACUGAAUCUGAGCUUCAGAGCUAUUGCCUGGAGUUCACACUUAAAGCUUGGUGUGCAGUUACCUCCUGAUCAAAGCUUGGAGCAAGCAGAAGGGCUGCCUUCAACAUUCACUAUUUUACGAAGAAACAGUUUGAGGGAAAGGAAGAGAAAUGGCAUCUUGCAGCCACAGGGCAAAGGCAUUUCACUAGAAGCAAAAUCAGACACAUUUUCCCUCGUAGAUUAAAUUUAACAUACAUUGUAUUGAAGAAUAAUGAAAUUGAUCAUCAGAACUCAUUACACUGUUUUGUUUAAGCCUGCCUGAACAGGGCUGUUCAUCUAUUUCCGAUUAAUAGUUUGAUCUUUUUUUUUUUUAGCAAGGUUUAAAAAGAUAUAC
This 1687-nucleotide long non-coding RNA is filed under the name Gallus gallus (chicken). The record is from RNAcentral. Lineage: Eukaryota; Metazoa; Chordata; Aves; Galliformes; Phasianidae.